This 870-nucleotide ribosomal RNA is filed under the name uncultured Burkholderiaceae bacterium. RNAcentral's name for it is "bacterial SSU rRNA". It matches the Rfam family "Bacterial small subunit ribosomal RNA", at positions 9 to 873 of the family's 1533-position model. The record is from RNAcentral. Lineage: Bacteria; Pseudomonadati; Pseudomonadota; Betaproteobacteria; Burkholderiales; Burkholderiaceae.
GAGUUUGAUCCUGGCUCAGAUUGAACGCUGGCGGCAUGCCUUACACAUGCAAGUCGAACGGCAGCACGGGGGCAACCCUGGUGGCGAGUGGCGAACGGGUGAGUAAUACAUCGGAACGUGUCCUGGAGUGGGGGAUAGCCCGGCGAAAGCCGGAUUAAUACCGCAUACGCUCUAAGGAGGAAAGCGGGGGAUCUGACCUCGCGCUCAAGGGGCGGCCGAUGGCGGAUUAGCUAGUUGGUAGGGUAAAGGCCUACCAAGGCGACGAUCCGUAGCUGGUCUGAGAGGACGACCAGCCACACUGGGACUGAGACACGGCCCAGACUCCUACGGGAGGCAGCAGUGGGGAAUUUUGGACAAUGGGGGCAACCCUGAUCCAGCAAUGCCGCGUGUGUGAAGAAGGCCUUCGGGUUGUAAAGCACUUUUGUCCGGAAAGAAAUCCCUUGGGAUAAUACCUCGGGGGGAUGACGGUACCGGAAGAAUAAGCACCGGCUAACUACGUGCCAGCAGCCGCGGUAAUACGUAGGGUGCGAGCGUUAAUCGGAAUUACUGGGCGUAAAGCGUGCGCAGGCGGUUCGCUAAGACCGAUGUGAAAUCCCCGGGCUUAACCUGGGAACUGCAUUGGUGACUGGCGAGCUAGAGUGUGGCAGAGGGGGGUAGAAUUCCACGUGUAGCAGUGAAAUGCGUAGAGAUGUGGAGGAAUACCGAUGGCGAAGGCAGCCCCCUGGGCUAACACUGACGCUCAUGCACGAAAGCGUGGGGAGCAAACAGGAUUAGAUACCCUGGUAGUCCACGCCCUAAACGAUGUCAACUAGUUGUUGGGGAUUCAUUUCCUUAGUAACGAAGCUAACGCGUGAAGUUGACCAAUCACUA